Long non-coding RNA from Biomphalaria glabrata, 3323 nucleotides. RefSeq lists it as uncharacterized. The record is from RefSeq and is a predicted model, not a curated record. The transcript has 2 exons. NCBI's taxonomy places the organism in Eukaryota, Metazoa, Mollusca, Gastropoda, Planorbidae.
UUUACAAAAUUUUUAGUAAAGUAUAUGCCUAUUUCAUGAAUACAUAACUUGAACUAUGAUAGCUUAGAUUCCUACCUAAAAACACAAUAUUGAAAUGCUUUUACCCCCAUAAAUAAUAAGGGUUUUGAGCAAAAUGCACAGGAUCGCAACUGCAGUGGUAUUAUUUUGUUUUUAAUUUUAUUAUAUAGUGGGACAAACGAUUAAUUGUUUUUAGACAAAAAAGAGCACAUUACAUUUUAUGAUGAUCAUAUAUCUGAUAAUUAAAAAAAAAAAAAAAAAAAUCUAAUUUGCUACUGUUAUUCACAUUAAAAAUGUUUGAACACAAGCAUACAAACUAAACAUGUUUUUUAAAGAACAUUUAUGGCAAUCUCUUUGAUUCCUAAUAUUAUAGAUGAGUGUUUCACGUCUGCAAAAAUCCAGUUGUGACCUGCACAUUUCACCUCAUCCAUUGCAGACAAAACCGGUGUUCACUGGGGUUUAUCCUACUUAUCUUAUUGCCUUCUGCAUCUGUCCUCUGCAAGGGCUUUUAUUUAGCCUCAAAUAAGUGUCCCAUAACAUUUGUGAGAGCUUUCCAGUAGUCUGUUAGACACCUUAUUUAUAUAGGUUAGUUAUUUUAGUUAUUUAGCGACGCACCAUAGUAGACGCAUAUUGAACGGGACUAGUGACGUUUGGGAUAUGUUGGGUUAGAGACCGGAAAAUCAGUUAGCGAUAGAACAUUCCAGGGUAACGACGUGUUUAGUGACAGAGACUUCUACUGUGGCCCUUUUAUCAUAAUAAAUACAUGUUGAAUAGUUCAUCAGAGUCGACUACAUCUCUUCACUAGUUAAAAUAGAUGUGCCAGUUCUUGUUUGUGUUGUAGUUCAACUGCACGUAAUACACCCGGACAAUUACACCCAAACGAUUGCAGAGUAAUUGGUUGACUUCAAGACAGCCUGAACUAGCAACAUCACAGUGGCGACCCCGAACCUCGAAGCCGGACCCCUGUUGAAGCCGAACAUCGAACCGAACCUCGAAGCCGGACCCCUGAUGAAGCUGAACAUCGAACCGGACUUCGAAGCAGAACGUUUACUCAGGUGAGGGUCGUGCACUCGAAGAUAUAAGAUUUCAUCGGAGUACGGCUGAACACAGCAGUAUCGCAGAGUGACUUUGUUCUAGAUCUACAUACAGUCAUCGCCUGUUUGAUCGCACGUUCAACGAGCCGUUAACUCAGGGUGACCUUCGUCAGGACCGUAAUCAUCGCAACGCCUGAUCUUCAUAUGCUGAAUCGACCUACAGCCAGAGAAACCGUUCAUUCAUAACGGGUGAGAGAUCGUUAGUGAACCUGUUGGACAUAUUUUUUCUUCGUCAUAGGAGCCACAUUGAGUAUCAAGUUUUACCUCGUCAGUUUCGAGAAGGACAGUUUACCCGCUGUCAGAAGUAUUGUGAGUACUACAAGUUUGGUAGCUAACUAAAUCGAAAUCGCUCUGUCGUCUUACCCUUGGAGAGAUUCUUGUGGAGCAGUUUGCUCAUUGAACCGGUUGCUUGCCACGUUUAUAACGGUCACUGUGUUUAACCUUUGGAAGGUUAGUGAAGUAAUCUUUAUCAGUACUGAACAUUGAUAUAUCUAGUAUUCGUCGGUCUAGACCAUAUCUAGACUUGUUGAUAUUGCAGUUGUGGAAACAGCUACAUCCACUUAAUCUCGUUGAAAACCGUUAGUCGUAUAACGGAACGUCGUCGGAGGUGACCUUGGUCUCACCUAGUCUACAUUGGACAGUUUGGUCUAGUGAAGCAGAGUACAACAGCAAACUUCGUCGUACUACCAGAGUAGCAGCAGAAGCAGUGAACUAUUUUAGAGAACCGUUAUUCGUCAGCCCAGAUCAAGUCAUCGUCAAGAAAGCCGUUAUUCGUCAGCCCAGAUCAAGUCAUCGUCAAGAAAUUCGUUAUUCGUCAGUCGUCCAGAUCAAGUUGUCGUCAAGAGACUGUUAUUUGUCAGUAGUCGUCUACACAAGUCAAGUCAUCGCCAGAAGAACCGUUAACCUAUUCGUCAGUAACUGUGUACACAAGGUCGUCGGAACUACACAUACGGUCAUCAACAGUCGUCGAAGAAACUGGAACAUUUUGCUGUGGCAUAUCAGGACAUCUGUGGCAUUACGUGGGAUACUGGUAGCACCGGAGAACAGAGUCAGAACUGGAAGAGAGGCAGUGGAAUUUGUUGUGAUCUAACAUAUUCGGGAGUCCGAACAAAGGGAUCUUUCUUAUCAAAAGCUAAGUGCCAUUUUUCUUAUUAGUAUAUGUUUAGAUUGCCCUUAGAAAUAGAUUUUGUCUAAAUUUGGUACGUUAGCCUGAGUAAAAUCAGGUGGUGCGCCUUAAAACCCGUCGGGGUAGAAGACGUAAUUUAGAUGAAAAGCUAUAUUAUACGUUUAGGGUUGUAAUUUGUUUUGUUUGUGCAAACGUCAUAUCCGUUGUUGCCUGGUUACUUCGUGACGUUAUCAUUGUGUGCCAUAUUGUCACAUCCCAACCCAUAGUGAUAGUCUCAUUUAAUUAUUUCAUUUGUUUAUAUUAUUUUAAAUUAUUUAUUUUUAUUAAUUUAAUUAGAUCUGUAUUUUUUUUUCACUUAAUGAUAGAAAGUGCGGGUAGGAUUCUUUUACUGUGAAUCAGACUAAAAUAAUUUUAGUUUGAGCGGUUAAAAUCAAAUAUGAUUUUGCCAUGAGAAUAAUGCCGAAACUGGCUAUGUAGUCAAACACUGUCGUCUGGCUAAAUUUAGAUCUGCAAAUUGUUGUACAUCUCUUUGGUACAAUUUAAUUAUCUAGACUCUACUUUGAAAUAUUAUUAAGUUGAAGAUGAAUGAAGAUUACUGCCAGUGAAGAACAUUUGAGAUGUAUAGGACGUGCCCAUAAGAUGCCACAUUUUCCUCCAUGAUGAACUAUGUACCAAUGAAGAUGAUUCUGGAAUGUUAUGAACUGUUAUGAACAUUGACAUGAAUAUGAGGAACUGUCAAGAUGAAGAUGUCAAGAUGAAGAGAUCAAGAUUUUAUGUUUGUGGUCUUCCCCUUAAAUUGAAAAUGCCCUUGUAAGACUUGACAGUAGUGGAAAAAUAUUGACAUAUUUUUUUUUCAAGGGGGGGAGGAAUCUGUUAGACACCUUAUUUAUAUAGGUUAGUUAUUUUAGUUAUUUAGCGACGCACCAUAGUAGACGCAUAUUGAACGGGACUAGUGACGUUUGGGAUAUGUUGGGUUAGAGACCGGAAAAUCAGUUAGCGAUAGAACAUUCCAGGGUAACGACGUGUUUAGUGACAGAGACUUCUACUGUGGCCCUUUUAUCAUAAUAAAUACAUGUUGAAUAGUU